AGAUAUACAGGUGGUGAUGUUACGAAAAGUUAUAGAUAAAGCUGUACAAUAGAUGAAACUGAAAGUGGAUAUUAACUAUUAAGUCGGGAUCUGAAUGUUUUAAAUGAGAAUUAUUCAAAAUGGUUGAAAUAUUCAAGAACUUGGUGGGUACUCUAAUCCGAGGACCGUAUCAUGUACAGAUUGUGAACACUUCAGAUUACAAUAAUCAAGUUUUGAGUGAUCCCCCACUCUACCUCUACAAAGAAAGAUCUACAUUCCAUGCUAUUUUGAAAUUACCAAAGUCUAGCUCAAAAGUUUUCAGUUUGUUCUGUUUGAGAGAAGAAGGAGAAGCAUUUGUAGUAUUCAAUUCCUUCCGGCAACGCCUGGCUAAACUGAUUAUUCCAGUUCCUCCCGACCUUGAUUGCAAACUAUUAAAAACUAUCUGUGACUGCUUAAGGGAGAACCCAUUAUGGUCGACUGCCCAUAUAGCAGCUUAUGUAGGCUAUGAAGAUGCUUUCAAGAAUGUGGAUGUCUUAAGGCACAUAAAUGAACAAUCACAAAUUACGGGUAAAACGGCUUUGAUGGUUGGUGUCAAGAAUAACAAUUUCCAGUGUGUGAAGACGAUGUUAAAGAAUGGUGCAAUGACAGAUCUGAAUGACAGAGAUGGCAACACUAUAUUCCACUAUGCCAUCCACUCCAAAGAAGUUAUCAUGUUGUUCAAGGAUUAUUCUGCAGCCAGUGCCAUUAACAAAAAGAACAACAAUGGUGAGACACCCUUCUUUCAUUGUUGUCAACAAGGGAGUCUGGAGUGCACUCAGGCUCUUCUUGAUAUUGGAGCAGAUCCCUAUCAAAUGAGUCAUGGAGUCGCUCCCAUCCACGUAGCCUUGAAGAGGGGAGAUUCCAAUUUGAUUGAAUUACUGUGCAACUUCGACAAGAGGCUGGCCUCUCAGCAAGACCAGAAAUACGGAGGCUUCCCAAUCCAUUGGGUACAAAAAGAAGAGCAUAUUAACAUUCUGAGGCAAUACGGAGCUGACAUAAAUGUCAUCAGUACUUACAAUUCUCGCUCCGCUCUCCACAUAAUGUUGGAGAAGCACCGCUACAACUGCGCCAUGACUUUACUUAGUCAUGGCAUAGAUGCCAACUUGAAAGAUAAAGAUGGUAAUACAGGUCUUCACAUUGCGGUUGAGCAUCAAAACCUGAGCAUGGUGAGAGCUCUGGCAAUAUUCGGGACUGAUCUGAACAUUCGUAACAAUCAGCGGCACACUGCAAGACAUAAAGCUGCUUUACUGAAAAAUGAUAAUGGGCCUGAAAUAGUAUGUUCACUAAAUCAAAGUGGGGCUUCUCGUUGCGGAACUGAUGUGUCUGGCUGUCUCCGAGGUUGUGUAUCUGGUGGUCAGUUCAAUGGAAGUUUGAAAACAAAAUCUCUUAUGACUGAUGAUUACGAUGCUGCCUAUGAUGAAAUGCUAAUAGGGCAAUUUCUAGCUACACAUGGUGCCAACAAAAACAAGGAUGGUUACAGGGUCCUCUGUCUUGAUGGUGGUGGUAUCAGGGGUUUAAUUACGAUCCAGAUGUUAAUUGAAAUAGAGAAACAUGUUGGUAAACCAAUCCAAGAAUGUUUUGACUGGAUUUCUGGCACAAGUACAGGAGGAAUCCUCGCUUUGGCCAUAGCCCAGGGUAAACCGUUGAAUUAUUGCAAAAGUUUAUAUUUCCGGAUGAAAAAUGAUAUAUUUUCUGGCAAACGACCAUAUUCUUCUGACAAACUCGAACAACUGCUGAAAGAUGAGUUUGGUGAAGACACUGUCAUGUCAGAUUUGAAACGGCCAAAGGUGAUGGUGACAGCUGUCAUAGCUGACCAGAUUCCACCCAAGCUGCAUCUCUUCCAGAAUUAUUCUUACUCAUUAGCGUUACCCAACAUAGAGCAACAGCCAGAGGAGACAUCUAUCCAUGCCCAAAAAGUGUGGCAUGCAGCUCGCUGUUCAGGUGCUGCUCCAACAUUUUUUCGAGCAUGUGGAAAGUAUUUAGAUGGAGGCCUGAUGAGUAACAAUCCAACUCUUGAUACCCUCACUGAAAUCCACCAGUACAACCUUGCAGAGCAACAAAAUAACCGAGAGACACGACCAGUAGGUUGUGUUGUAUCACUUGGCACCGGACGUAAACCUGUUGUUAAAACCAACAGUAUGGAUGUUUACCUACCUGAAAACUUCCUUGAUAUUGCAAUUUGUGCUGUGAGAAGUUUGGCACUCAAAGACCUCAUUGUCCAUCAGGUAACCAACACUGAUGACCAACCUGUCCAACAAGCGAGAUCUUGGUGCAAUAUGUUGAACAUACCAUAUUUCCGAUUCAACCCUCCACAAAGUGAAGACAUCCCAUUGGAUUGUCAGGACAGUGAGAAAAUUGUUGAUGUCAUGUGGGAAACUUUGUGUUAUUGUAAUACCCACAAAUCAAAAUUUGAAAAUCUUGCAACUAUUCUAAUGAGUAGAUAAGAUCUGACUGCAUUUUAUUUGGAAGCGGGGUGGAUUUCUUUUUCUUCUCCACAUACACACACACACACACACACAUACAUACAAACACACACACAUACAAACACAUACA
This 2571-nucleotide unclassified non-coding RNA is filed under the name Octopus sinensis (East Asian common octopus). Its description in RNAcentral is "85/88 kDa calcium-independent phospholipase A2, transcript variant X6". Lineage: Eukaryota; Metazoa; Mollusca; Cephalopoda; Octopoda; Octopodidae. The record is from RNAcentral.